RNAcentral lists this ribosomal RNA (497 nucleotides) under uncultured bacterium. RNAcentral describes it as "partial 16S ribosomal RNA". It matches the Rfam family "Bacterial small subunit ribosomal RNA", at positions 28 to 507 of the family's 1533-position model. The record is from RNAcentral.
GAUGAACGCUGGCGGCGUGCCUAAUACAUGCAAGUCGAGCGAACAGACGCGGCGCUUGCUCCUCUGACGUUAGCCGCGGACGGGUGAGAAACACGUGGAUAACCUACCUAUAAGACUGGGAUAACUUCGGGAAACCGGAGCUUAUCCCGGAUAAUAUCUUGCUCCGCAUGGUUCAAUAGUGAGAGACGGCUUUGCUGUCACUUCUAGAUGGAUCCGCGCCGCAUUAGCUAGUUGGUAAGGUAACGGCUUACCACGGCAACGAUGCGUAGCCGACCGGAGAGAGUGGUCGCCCACACGGGAGCUGAGACACGGUCCAGACGCCUGAGGGAGGCAGCAGUAGGGUAUCGUCCGCAAUGGGCGAAAGCAUGACGGAGCAACGCCGCGUGAGUGAUGACGGUCUCCGGAGCGUAAAGCUCUGUUACGAGUGAAGAACAACUGUGUAAGUAACUAUGCACUUCUUGACGGUACCGAAUCAGAAAGCCACGGCUAACUACGUG